UGGGGAAUAUUGCACAAUGGGGGAAACCCUGAUGCAGCGACGCCGCGUGAACGAAGAAGGUAUUCGUAUCGUAAAGUUCUGUCCUAUGGGAAGAUAAUGACAGUACCAUUGAAGAAAGCUCCGGCUAAAUACGUGCCAGCAGCCGCGGUAAUACGUAUGGAGCGAGCGUUGUCCGGAAUUAUUGGGCGUAAAGGGUACGCAGGCGGUUUAAUAAGUCGAAUGUUAAAGAUCGGGGCUCAACCCCGCAAAGCAUUGGAAACUGAUAAACUUGAGUAGUGGAGAGGAAAGUGGAAUUCCUAGUGUAGUGGUGAAAUACGUAGAUAUUAGGAGGAAUACCAGUAGCGAAGGCGACUUUCUGGACACAAACUGACGCUGAGGUACGAAAGCGUGGGGAGCAAACAGG
This 403-nucleotide ribosomal RNA is filed under the name bacterium. RNAcentral describes it as "partial 16S ribosomal RNA". It matches the Rfam family "Bacterial small subunit ribosomal RNA", at positions 355 to 776 of the family's 1533-position model. The record is from RNAcentral.